GAGUUUGAUCGUGGCUCAGAUUGAACGCUGGCGGCAGGCCUAACACAUGCAAGUCGAGCGGAUGACGGGAGCAUGCUCCUUGAUUCAGCGGCGGACGGGUGAGUAAUGCCUAGGAAUCUGCCUGGUAGUGGGGGACAACGUUUCGAAAGGAACGCUAAUACCGCAUACGUCCUACGGAGAAAGCAGGGACCUUCGGCCUUGCGCUAUCAGAUGAGCCUAGGUCGGAUUAGCUAG
Molecule: ribosomal RNA, 234 nt
Filed under: bacterium enrichment culture clone ALO1_GLFRUDD03GQCQ3
Lineage: Bacteria
Description: partial 16S ribosomal RNA
Rfam family: Bacterial small subunit ribosomal RNA
Source: RNAcentral